GAUGAACGCUGGCGGUCUGCUUAACACAUGCAAGUCGAACGGAAUCCUUCGGGAUUUAGUGGCGGACGGGUGAGUAACGCGUGAGAACCUGCCUUCAGGUUCGGGACAACAGCUGGAAACGGCUGCUAAUACCGGCUGUGCCGAGAGGGGAAAGCUUUAGUGCCUGAAGAUGAGCUCGUGUCUGAUUAGCUAGUAGGAGUGGUAAUGGCACCCCUAGGCGACGAUCAGUAGCUGGUCUGAGAGGAUGAUCAGCCACACUGGGACUGAGACACGGCCCAGACUCCUACGGGAGGCAGCAGUGGGGAAUUUUCCGCAAUGGGCGCAAGCCUGACGGAGCAAGACCGCGUGAGGGAAGAAGGUCUGUGGAUUGUAAACCUCUUUUGAUGGGGAAGAAGACAGUGACGGUACCCAUCGAAUCAGCCUCGGCUAACUCCGUGCCAGCCGCCGCCGUAA
Molecule: ribosomal RNA, 453 nt
Filed under: uncultured bacterium
Lineage: Bacteria
Description: partial 16S ribosomal RNA
Rfam family: Bacterial small subunit ribosomal RNA
Source: RNAcentral